AGGUUAAGCUAGUAAGAGCGCACGGAGGAUGCCUAGGCACCAGGAGCCGAAGAAGGACGUGGCGAACAACGAUACCGCCUCGGGGAGCCGUAAGCAGGCAUUGAUCCGGGGAUUUCCGAAUGGGGAAACCCAGCAGUCGUAAUGGACUGUUACUGUCGAGUGAAUACAUAGCUCGUCAAGAGGCAUACCGGGGGAACUGAAACAUCUAAGUACCCCGAGGAAGAGAAAACAAAAGUGAUUCCGUCAGUAGCGGCGAGC
This 258-nucleotide ribosomal RNA is filed under the name Paenibacillus oryzae. RNAcentral describes it as "partial 23S ribosomal RNA". It matches the Rfam family "Bacterial large subunit ribosomal RNA", at positions 1 to 254 of the family's 2925-position model. The record is from RNAcentral. Lineage: Bacteria; Bacillati; Bacillota; Bacilli; Caryophanales; Paenibacillaceae.